This 468-nucleotide ribosomal RNA is filed under the name uncultured bacterium. RNAcentral's name for it is "partial 16S ribosomal RNA". It matches the Rfam family "Bacterial small subunit ribosomal RNA", at positions 28 to 507 of the family's 1533-position model. The record is from RNAcentral.
GACGAACGCUGGCGGCGUGCUUAACACAUGCAAGUCGAACGGAAAGGCCCUGCUUUUGUGGGGUUCUCGAGUGGCGCACGGGUGUGUAACACGUGAGUAACCUGCCCUUGACUUUGGGAUAACUUCAGGAAACUGGGGCUAAUACCGGAUAGGAGCUCCUGCUGCGUGGUGGGGGUUGGAAAGUUUCGGCGGUGGGGGAUGGACUCGCGGCUUAUCAGCUUGUUGGUGGGGUAGUGGCUUACCAAGGCUUUGACGGGUAGCCGGCCUGAGAGGGUGACCGGCCACAUUGGGACUGAGAGACGGCCCAGAAUCCUACGGGAGGCAGCAGUGGGGAAUAUUGCACAAUGGGCGGAAGCCUGAUGCAGAAACGCCGCGUGCGGGAUGACGGCCUUCGGGGUGUAAACCGCUUUCGCCUGUGACGAAGCGUGAGUGACGGUAAUGGGUAAAGAAGCACCGGCUAACUACGUG